GUCCACGCCGUAAACGAUGAGUGCUAGGUGUCACGGGCUUUGACCCUCGUGGUGCCGCAGCUAACGCGUUAAGCACUCCGCCUGGGGAGUACGGCCGCAAGGCUAAAACUCAAAGGAAUUGACGGGGGCCCGCACAAGCGGUGGAGCAUGUUGUUCAAUUCGACGCAACGCGAAGAACCUUACCUGGGCUAGAAAGUACGGGAAUCCGGGCGAAAGUUCGGAGUGCCUUUCGGGGAACCCGUAGUUAGGUGCUGCAUGGCUGUCGU
Molecule: ribosomal RNA, 266 nt
Filed under: uncultured bacterium
Lineage: Bacteria
Description: partial 16S ribosomal RNA
Rfam family: Bacterial small subunit ribosomal RNA
Source: RNAcentral